Molecule: ribosomal RNA, 192 nt
Filed under: uncultured bacterium
Lineage: Bacteria
Description: partial 16S rRNA
Rfam family: Bacterial small subunit ribosomal RNA
Source: RNAcentral
GGAGUAUCGACCCUCUCUGUGCCGAAGCUAACGCUUUAAGUACCCCGCCUGGGGAGUACGGUCGCAAGACUAAAACUCAAAGGAAUUGACGGGGGCCCGCACAAGCAGCGGAGCGUGUGGUUUAAUUCGAUGCUACACGAAGAACCUCACCAGGGCUUGACAUGUUAGAAGUAGUGAUCCGAAAGGGGAACG